Colletotrichum fioriniae PJ7 is the source of this 193-nucleotide small nuclear RNA. It matches the Rfam family "U2 spliceosomal RNA". Rfam says of the family: U2 is a small nuclear RNA (snRNA) component of the spliceosome (involved in pre-mRNA splicing). The record is from Rfam. Lineage: Eukaryota; Fungi; Ascomycota; Sordariomycetes; Glomerellales; Glomerellaceae.
AGCUCUUCUUUGCCUUUUGGCUUAGAUCAAGUGUAGUAUCUGUUCUUUUCAGUUUAAUCUCUGAAAGAUGCCUAUUGGCAUCACAUUGAUUAUUCCUAUUUUUGAUCUCUCGGAGAUGGACCUCUGCGGCUUGCCGUAUGCCCUCUCCACCGUGUCCCUGGUAUUUCACUGCCUCCAGGCGACGCAAAUUCUU